This 465-nucleotide ribosomal RNA is filed under the name uncultured bacterium. Its description in RNAcentral is "partial 16S ribosomal RNA". It matches the Rfam family "Bacterial small subunit ribosomal RNA", at positions 338 to 795 of the family's 1533-position model. The record is from RNAcentral.
CCUACGGGGGGCAGCAGUGGGGAAUAUUGCGCAAUGGGCGAAAGCCUGACGCAGUGACGCCGCGUGAGGGAUGAAGGUCUUCGGAUCGUAAACCUCUGUCAGCAGGGAAGAACGGUCACUGUGCUAAUCAGUAGUGAAUUGACGGUACCUGCAAAGGAAGCACCGGCUAACUCCGUGCCAGCAGCCGCGGUAAUACGGAGGGUGCGAGCGUUAAUCGGAAUUACUGGGCGUAAAGCGCUCGUAGGCGGUAUGUCAAGUCAAGGGUGAAAUCCCCGCGCGCAACGUGGGAACUGCCUUUGAAACUGGGAAACUGGAGUGUGUGAGAGGAUAGUGGAAUUCCAGGUGUAGGAGUGAAAUCCGUAGAUAUCUGGAGGAACAUCAGUGGCGAAGGCGACUAGCUGGAACAUAACUGACGCUGAGGAGCGAAAGCGUGUGUAGCAAACAGGAUUAGAUACCCGAGUAGUC